This 27-nucleotide transfer RNA is filed under the name Cecropia pachystachya. RNAcentral's name for it is "partial tRNA-Leu". The record is from RNAcentral. Lineage: Eukaryota; Viridiplantae; Streptophyta; Magnoliopsida; Rosales; Urticaceae.
CGAUUGGUUCAAGUCCCUCUAUCCCCA